AUGUAAGCGAUGUGGUUGAUCACAAAAAAAAAAAAAGAAGAAGAACGUAAGCGAAGUAAACUAUAUUGAUGAAAAAAAUAACAGAAGAAAUAAAACUAAACAAUACAAUCACCAAUAUAAUUACGCCCGAUCCUCUCUAGUUGCCCAAUAUACAUAAAAUGCAUAGGUGAAAACACAUAUAAAGAAUGCAAAAAGGGCAAAAUAAGCUAUAAACGCCAUUAGUCCCAAGCCCUCCAUUCCCCCUUCUCGU
Molecule: long non-coding RNA, 250 nt
Organism: Arabidopsis thaliana (thale cress)
Lineage: Eukaryota; Viridiplantae; Streptophyta; Magnoliopsida; Brassicales; Brassicaceae
Product: other RNA
Exons: 1
Source: RefSeq